RNAcentral lists this long non-coding RNA (328 nucleotides) under Glycine max (soybean). Its description in RNAcentral is "long non-coding RNA (GMAX_LNC001659)". The record is from RNAcentral. Lineage: Eukaryota; Viridiplantae; Streptophyta; Magnoliopsida; Fabales; Fabaceae.
UUCGCCCGCCCCGGUUGUCUCGUCCCCUUAUUGUUCCACGUCAUCAGCGCCGCCCGUGCCCUCUCUCCCGAACCUUCCCUAUGUUAAAACCAAACCUUUAAACUUAAAUCCGGUUCCUGAUACUGACUCCAAGGAAAAUCAAACCGAACCUGAAACGGAACCUCACCCGAACCUGAACCUGAACCAAAACCCGAACAUGUAUUCAAAUAACCCUGUUGUUCACUACCCUCCAGAAGCUGCUUAUUCGGCGCAUUCAGUAAACCCGGUUCCGGUUUACUAUGUUUCCGGUCCGGUUCGACCGGGAUCCGUGCCGGUUCCUAUGCAAACC